AUGGAUGCUGGGCUGCCUUUGGAUUCACCAGAGUCCCACCAGCGAGGUCCCCUGGACCGUGGACCUCGUGGCCAGCCUGUGUUCUCAUCCAUUCUGGGCAGUCACAGAGCGGAAGAAGCACCAAGACGGGGCAUCUUCAAGACCCUGUUCCUUCUGGCACAGACCCGGAAGGGGGCUGCUGGUCAAGUUGGUGGGCUGCCGGCUGUUCCUGGGCCACACUGCCCUGCUCCCCCGGCAAUGCCCGCGGGGUCCAGGCACGGCUUUCUUCUCAGAAGAGCACUGGAAAGGGAGCGGAGCGUGCGGGGCCCAGGUUUGGGAUGCGCUGAGAGAGCUCCGGGACUCCAGGAGGUGCUGCCUCCACACUGGGCACUUCCCGUGAACCUUGCAGCUGCCUGGUCUCCAGCUGAGGCUGCAUCACCAGGCGGGAGCGCUGACCCUGAAGCGGGGGAUCCCUCCACAGAGCGGCACCCCGCGGGCACGAGGUACACUCCGGGCUCCGCCCCGUCUCUGACUCUCACACUCGUUCCACUGUUGGACCUCGUUUGACCACCUCUUCCAGUGGCUUCCUCCUGUGCAUCCAUGGCAAGACACUCCGCCUGCUUCCUGGCUUCUGACUCCAUGUCUUCCAGAACUUUCUCUCUGUUUACGUUUUGAACUAUUCCUAUGCUCGUUUUUCUAGAAAGUUAAUUCUGCUUUCAGCUCCCUAAUCCUUAUUUUCAAACCUUCUGUAGAGUCUGAUCUUUGAAUUCUCAUGUUCUCCUAUUGAUCCUUCCUCACAGCCUCUACUGUCCUUGGUCGAUGCCAAGGCCUUGUGGAUUUCUCUUAUUAGAUAAAUGUUUUUUCAAAAGCUG
RNAcentral lists this long non-coding RNA (851 nucleotides) under Ictidomys tridecemlineatus (thirteen-lined ground squirrel). Its description in RNAcentral is "lncRNA (ENSSTOG00000030738.1)". The record is from RNAcentral. Lineage: Eukaryota; Metazoa; Chordata; Mammalia; Rodentia; Sciuridae.